AGUCUAUUGAAUUAGGAUAGUAGAUAUUUUCUGCCCACUGUGAAAAUUAACGGCCGCGUUAUAUUGAGCGUGCGAAGGUAGCAUAAUAAUUUGUUUUUUAAUUGAAUACUUGGAUGAAUGGAGUGACGAAGUUCAAGCUGUCUCAUUUUUAGGAAUUAGAAAUUAAUCUCCAGGUGAAGAAGCCUGACUUUUUAUGAAGGACAAGAAGACCCUGUCGAGCUUACUUUUAAAAUAAAUAUUAAAGUUAAUUGGGGCGAUUAGAGAGAUAAAAAUCCUCUCUUUUUUAAAGAGGAACUCACUAUAAAAAUCCGACUUUUUCGAGUUAAGAUUAGCUACCGCAGGGAUAACAGGCUAAUUUUUUUUUAGAGUCCAAAUCUACAAAAAAGUUUGGCACCUCGAUGUUGGCUUAAGAUACUUUUUUAACGUAGAAGUUAAAAAUCAGUGGUUUGUUCAACCAUUAAAUUCUU
Molecule: ribosomal RNA, 467 nt
Filed under: Anguillosyllis capensis
Lineage: Eukaryota; Metazoa; Annelida; Polychaeta; Phyllodocida; Syllidae
Description: partial 16S ribosomal RNA
Rfam family: Bacterial large subunit ribosomal RNA
Source: RNAcentral